AAACUCAAAGGAAUUGACGGGGGCCCGCACAAGCAGCGGAGCAUGUGGUUUAAUUCGACGCAACGCGAAGAACCUUACCAUGACUUGACAUCCAAAGAAUUUAGUAGAAAUACUGAAGUGCCCCGUAAGGGGAGCUUUGAGACAGGUGGUGCAUGGUUGUCGUCAGCUCGUGUCGUGAGAUGUUAGGUUAAGUCCUGCAACGAGCGCAACCCCUGUUGUUAGUUGCUACCAUUUAGUUGAGCACUCUAACAAGACUGCCGAGGUUAACUCGGAGGAAGGUGGGGAUGACGUCAAAUCAUCAUGCCCUUUAUGUCAUGGGCUACACACGUGCUACAAUGGCCGGUACAGAGAGACGCAAUACCGCAAGGUGGAGCAAAUCUCAAAAACCGGUCCCAGUUCGGAUUGCAGGCUGCAACUCGCCUGCAUGAAGCUGGAGUUGCUAGUAAUCGCGAAUCAGCAUGUCGCGGUGAAUACGUUCCCGGGCCUUGUACACACCGCCCGUCACACCACGAGAGUCUGCAACACCCGAAGUCAGUGGGCUAACCCGUAAGGGAGGCAGCUGCCGAAGGUGGGGCCGAUAAUUGGGGUGAAGUCGUAACAAGGUAGCCGUAGGAG
Molecule: ribosomal RNA, 615 nt
Filed under: uncultured bacterium
Lineage: Bacteria
Description: bacterial SSU rRNA
Rfam family: Bacterial small subunit ribosomal RNA
Source: RNAcentral